RNAcentral lists this ribosomal RNA (614 nucleotides) under uncultured Neisseria sp. Its description in RNAcentral is "partial 16S ribosomal RNA". Lineage: Bacteria; Pseudomonadati; Pseudomonadota; Betaproteobacteria; Neisseriales; Neisseriaceae. The record is from RNAcentral.
ACUCCCCAGGCGGUCGAUUUCACGCGUUAGCUUCGCUACCAAGCAAUCAAGUUGCCCAACAGCUAAUCGACAUCGUUUAGGGCGUGGACUACCAGGGUAUCUAAUCCUGUUUGCUACCCACGCUUUCGGGCAUGAACGUCAGUGCUAUCCCAGGGGGCUGCCUUCGCCAUCGGUAUUCCUCCACAUCUCUACGCAUUUCACUGCUACACGUGGAAUUCUACCCCCCUCUGACACACUCUAGCCACCCAGUUCAGAACGCAAUUCCCAGGUUGAGCCCGGGGAUUUCACAUCCUGCUUAAGUAACCGUCUGCGCCCGCUUUACGCCCAGUAAUUCCGAUUAACGCUCGCACCCUACGUAUUACCGCGGCUGCUGGCACGUAGUUAGCCGGUGCUUAUUCUUCCGGUACCGUCAGCACGCAAUGGUAUUAACAUCGCGCUUUUCUUCCCGGACAAAAGUCCUUUACAACCCGAAGGCCUUCUUCAGACACGCGGCAUGGCUGGAUCAGGGUUGCCCCCAUUGUCCAAAAUUCCCCACUGCUGCCUCCCGUAGGAGUCUGGGCCGUGUCUCAGUCCCAGUGUGGCGGAUCAUCCUCUCAGACCCGCUACUGAUCGUC